Molecule: ribosomal RNA, 461 nt
Filed under: uncultured Geobacillus sp.
Lineage: Bacteria; Bacillati; Bacillota; Bacilli; Caryophanales; Anoxybacillaceae
Description: bacterial SSU rRNA
Rfam family: Bacterial small subunit ribosomal RNA
Source: RNAcentral
GCACAAGCGGUGGAGCAUGUGGUUUAAUUCGAAGCAACGCGAAGAACCUUACCAGGUCUUGACAUCCCCUGACAACCCAAGAGAUUGGGCGUUCCCCUUCGGGGGGACAGGGUGACAGGUGGUGCAUGGUUGUCGUCAGCUCGUGUCGUGAGAUGUUGGGUUAAGUCCCGCAACGAGCGCAACCCUCGCCUCUAGUUGCCAGCAUUCGGUUGGGCACUCUAGAGGGACUGCCGGCGACAAGUCGGAGGAAGGUGGGGAUGACGUCAAGUCCUCAUGGCCCUUAUAGGUGGGGCUACACACGUCAUACAAUGGAUGGUACAAAGGGUCGCCAACCCGCGAGGGGGAGCCAAUCCCAUAAAGCCAUUCGUAGUCCGGAUCGCAGUCUGCAACUCGACUGCGUGAAGUCGGAAUCGCUAGUAAUCGUGGAUCAGAAUGUCACGGUGAAUACGUUCCCGGGUCUU